RNAcentral lists this long non-coding RNA (588 nucleotides) under Apteryx rowi (Okarito brown kiwi). RNAcentral's name for it is "lncRNA (ENSARWG00000005552.1)". Lineage: Eukaryota; Metazoa; Chordata; Aves; Apterygiformes; Apterygidae. The record is from RNAcentral.
CGGCGGCCCGGCCCGGCCCCCGGAGCUGCUCGGUGCCCCUCGUCUUUCCGCGGCCCGAAGCGUCGAGCCGGUGGCGCUUGUCCUCACGGCGUGUGCCUGCCAGGUGGUGAGGGCGCUGGCCUGCCUCUUCCAGCAUCCCUUGCUUUCUCUUACAGAUGAUAAUCUUGUUUAAUUGGGAAGCAACAACAGAAGCACUGCUCAUUGGCUCUUUCUCACCUUCCUACCUCUUCAUCCUUCCCUACCACCCCGCUGAGGUCUCCAAGGAAUGAGCUUGUACUUCUCCUUGCUGGAAACGGGAGUUUCUACCAGCCACCCUUGUAGACACAGCCUAUUUGCCCAUCCUGUCAUGCAAAUGAAAAGCCUGGUGGUAUUUCGGUAGCCCUUUCAUGAAGGGAGUUGGGAACGAAGCUCAGCUGCACCUUUGCCAAGGGUAUUUCCAUUUCCCCUCUGGAGGGCUGGAGAACAGAGCAAAAACUCCCCAGCAGACCAGGACUUGAACAAAGCCUGUGGAGAAAGCAGUCCUAAGAGUCAGCAAACUUAUUGCCAGGAGAUCAGGAUGAGUGCGCAUAACCAGGCAAGUCCUUCAUU